RNAcentral lists this ribosomal RNA (231 nucleotides) under uncultured bacterium. RNAcentral's name for it is "partial 16S ribosomal RNA". It matches the Rfam family "Bacterial small subunit ribosomal RNA", at positions 524 to 748 of the family's 1533-position model. The record is from RNAcentral.
UACGUAGGGUGCAAGCGUUAAUCGGAAUUACUGGGCGUAAAGCGUGCGCAGGCGGUUUUGUAAGACAGGCGUGAAAUCCCCGGGCUCAACCCGUGGGAACUGGACGCUUGUGACUGCAAAGCUGGAGUGCGGCAGAGGGGGAUGGGAAUUCCGCGUGUAGCAGUGAAAUGCGUAGAUAUGCGGAGGAACACCGAUGGCGAAGGCGAAUCCCCUGGGCCUGCACUGACGCUC